GUCGUUUUGAGUGAAGGUCGAAAGAAAAGUUAAGUGUAUAUAUAUAAACAAAACAUUGUACUGAACACGACGUUGGCACCUGUCAGGCAAAUAGCUGUUUUGGGUGAAGGUCGAAGGAAAGGUCAAGAAUCAUGUGAAUAGGUAUUGCAAGGAAGAUAAAAAGACAAUAGAAGGGUGAAACUUGGAUUGACUGAUUUGAGGUGAAUUGAGAAGAAAGAAUGCGUGUUCUGUGUAUGACCUGAAUUGAAGGGGGACAGCUUUAAAGGUACGUGGAUAUCCCAACAGACUCACGCCUUAAGUAGCAUUGAUUUCGGGUUGUCUCUCUGCCCCUCUGUGCACAGAGACAUACUUCCUCCCUCUACCAUUAGAUGCUAAAUGCCCUCUCUAUAUUUAUUGGACAGUGCCAACACUAUGACCUUCACCCCAUUCCCCCAAAAAAUCCCUUCUCUCCAAGAACGUAACUUUCUGAAUCGACAAUUUCUCUCUCUCUCUCUCUCUCUCUCUCUCUAAAUGAAAUCUUUCUGCCUUGACUAUUCCUUUUAUUAUUUCUUGGAGUUUGGCCAUGCACAGUUUCCUACAAGGUUUGGGAGUGGGGCGGGUGGGGUUGGAAAACAACGUAUCAACAACAUUUCUUACACCUUGUCUUUUUUCUUUCUUAAUUAUUACUACAUGCCAAUUUGUCUCCCUCGUGCACCGACUGUGCCCGUUAAAUAUUUAAUUUCGCACACAGUAUAACUAUUUGUUUGCACAGUGUUAAUUUACAGGGUAACAGAAAUUUUCAUGUUUGAGUUUGAAUUCGAGGUUAGUACAACUUUUACUAUUUGGUCAAGUUGUAACAAUCGAGAAAAAUUUUGCAUUUCGAUUUUAAAAAAAAAAUUUGUAGAAAUUGAAAAAUAAUUUGAAUUAUAUUACUAAGUCGUUACGACAUUUUCUAAGAGUCCAAAUUAGAGUUUUGAUCAUGAUAAUAAAGUUGCACGCACUUAUCUUAAAAUGUUUGUAAGGUGUCGAAUCUUUACAAAUUUUUAUUUUGAUCUGAUUACGUUAUUUUUGAAGUCACAUUUUAUUUAAUUGCACCUAUAUUAAGUCCUUGAAAUUUAAAAUUCGAUACACUUCCUGAAUUGUGCCAAAUAAUCCCACAUUCAACCACGUUAUCUUGAUUUCUUCUAACACCUAUCAACCCAGAAUCUGAUUUUCUCUCCACUAAGGCACCCCACUUAAAUAUUUUACCGUCUACCCAUUUUACCAUUUUAAUUCCAUUUUGGUAAACUGACAGAAACCGUCCCUUUUUUCAUUUCAAUUGAAAAUGUUAUCUUCUGCUGCUCGUGUCGCAUGUUUUCUCUCACACAUCACAACUAUAAACAUAUAAAUUUCACUUACCCUUUUUUCAUAGUCUAAACGCAACUUUGAGUCUGAAAAUUAUCUAAAGGAUAGGCUAGUAGCACGCUGCAUUUUGUUACAAAAUGGUCACAAAAAGGGUACUCGAACUCCAAACAUUUGAGGUACGGUAUUUUCGGCACUUUUGUACGUGAAGUAAAAGUUAUUUAUUUUUAAUUUGCAUUAAAUGUAUUAUUGUGUUACUCAUAAGAAAAAGGAAGCACCCUUUGCUUGUUCGAAUAAGAUAUGAAGAGGAUGAUUUUUGGUACUUGAAAAGGGUUAUCAAAAUCUAAGAGAAAGUGAACUGACAGAUCAUUGGUUCACUUUGCAAAAUUGAUGGUGAUACAAAUAACCAAAAUUUGCAUUUUUGAAAAAUAUAUAUAAUUUUUUUUUCCGACUGAAUACUUCCGACUGAAUAUUACUUGUGGUACUCAUCCCCUACAAAAAUUUUACAGGUUAACUUGAGGCAUGGCAUAGUGGCAAGUGCUAGGCGAUUUGAAAUAUGCUCUUUAUAGUAAAAUUAUCAGUUAUGUAAAUCUUUUAUGAACACUCAGAUGACGCUUUUAAAAGUGUUUAAAUGUCCAUUUCAUCUAGUUUUUAUACAUUUCACAUCAGCUAUAACUUAGAAAUGUUGGAUAAACUAUGCAUAAAGUCUAAUAGUUGCGGAAUUGAAAUUCCAAUUUCUAUCCUCCUAUUUAAAAAUAGCGUAACUCCAGCUACAUUGCAUGUUUUAGUGUUUGAAAGGGAGUCUUCUAAUUGUGGCCUUUGGAAUUACCUUAAAAUAUUACCUAGAGAAGAAGUUAUGUCUGUUUUCGUAGAGUGCGGCCAGUCAAUUUCGAAAAACUAUUGAGAGCCAAUUUUUUAUAUGUUGUGCGUAAAUGAAUGUUAUAAUCUUUGUUAAAAUUUCAUAAAUUUUAGUCAACAUUUGCUAGGCCGAGCAUAUCUUCUUCUUUUUUCUGCAUCUAAGCAAUCAGUGUUUGCUAAAUUUCCUCCAAAUGCUUUCCAAAAUUAAAUCAUACCAUAUUUGUCUAAGUUUAUAUGGUCAAAUAUUAAGAUCUUCCAUUAUAUACUUUUUUUAUUAUUUCAAAAUCAAAUUUUUUUUAUUUACAAUUUAUUUCGGUUAACAUUAUAGAGCUCAAACUAAGAUUUUUUUAAUGCAUCAAGUACAAAGCAUUUAGGAGAGCACAAUUUAUUUUCUUUAGACUUGCAUAAGAAAUCAUAUCCUAGAUGUAUCGCGUUACAUAUUAAGUUGAUCAAAUGUUUUAAAGAGGAUCCUAAGCAUUGUGCAUGCCAUUGCCACGCUAUGCCAAUUUUAAGGUAAAGAAAGUUUAUAAAUAUGGUUGUAUAUAUGUAACGAGUAUGAGAAAGUUUAUUCUAUAUACAACAAUUGAAAAAUAUGUAUGAAUAUCAAUAUAUGUUUGAGUAUUUUCUUUGUGGAUAAUCAUUACUGUACCAAGUAUUUUGAUGUGUCCAAACUUAAAUAUUUAUUUAAGUCCUCAAAAAUUAACUAAAACUUAUUAGAUACCUACUAAUUGAACUUUAAAUAAUUGGUAUGAGAUAGAUGGUACGGACUAAGAAGAAUUGUAGGAAGACGAGUUCAUUGAUGCCUCAUCAACAUGAGAUCGUAAGGCGGUAUGAAGAGUAUCGGUGGAACCCAGCACACAAUAUGGGCCAGCACAUUUGGGAGAUGUUAGUAAGGUGGAAGGAGGUAAGGCAACUAGGCUAUAUGAUCACUGGUCGUCGGGCGACCCGCCUCCUUAUUGACACCUUGCCAGAAGAAUGGUUGGAGAUGGCCGAAUUGAUUUAUGAUUAUUUGUGGGAAGUUGCUGUGCCUACAUUACCUCGAGAGAUUGACUAUGAGGCUUUUUGCGCAGAGCUGAUAGAGCAAUGGGAGCAAGCUCGACUUGCGAUCCCCGAGCACGAUAGUAUACCUACUGAGAUAUAUAUUCAUGAAGAUGCACCUCCACCUAUUUCAGACGAUGAGGGAUAACCUUCCAAGAAAUGUAGGGUUCAUGGAGGCUGGAUUAGUGAUAAUGAUGACAAUGAUGAAUAGUGUUGUGGAAUUUUUUAUUAGGUUUAGUUGUUUUCAAUAUCAAGUAUAUUCUUUUCGCUUUUCUAUUGAUUGGCGUCAGACCCUCUUUUAUUAUUUUAUAUUCCUUUUGAAGAAUUCUUUUAAGAUAAUAAUAAAAGAUUUUGAGCUGUAAAUUGUUUCCCUAUUUUGUGAAAAGUAUUGUUGACUCCUCUAGAUAAGAUUACAAUUAUUUAUGUUUAUAGGAAUAUGACGCAUGCGGGGACAAUUAGUGAGUUAAGGUGGGAGAUUGAUGAGUUAAAGCAAGCUUUGGCUGCUUAGGCUCUACCUCCAGCACAUCAGUCUCCACAGACCCUUAGGCAAUGUCAGUCUCACCAACAUGCUUACCUACACUGCUUAGUCCAAUCGUAGAACAAUUUCAAUGAUAUUGAUCUUCCACUUUAGAUGGCAUAAAAG
RNAcentral lists this long non-coding RNA (3859 nucleotides) under Olea europaea subsp. europaea. The record is from RNAcentral. Lineage: Eukaryota; Viridiplantae; Streptophyta; Magnoliopsida; Lamiales; Oleaceae.